This 73-nucleotide transfer RNA is filed under the name Cordylochernes scorpioides. Its description in RNAcentral is "tRNA-Thr". It matches the Rfam family "tRNA". Rfam says of the family: Transfer RNA (tRNA) molecules are approximately 80 nucleotides in length. The record is from RNAcentral. Lineage: Eukaryota; Metazoa; Arthropoda; Arachnida; Pseudoscorpiones; Chernetidae.
UCCAGGGUGGCCGGGUGGACAGGGCACCUGCCCGGUAAGCAGAAGGGUGUGGGUUCGAUUCCCGCCCCUGGAC